GGGCCCAUAGCUCAAUCGGUUAGAGCANNAGCACCUGACUCAUAAUCAGGGGGUUCCAGGUUCAAUUCCUGGUGGGCCCACUA
This 83-nucleotide transfer RNA is filed under the name Amoebophilaceae bacterium. Its description in RNAcentral is "tRNA-Met". It matches the Rfam family "tRNA". Rfam says of the family: Transfer RNA (tRNA) molecules are approximately 80 nucleotides in length. Their secondary structure includes four short double-helical elements and three loops (D, anti-codon, and T loops). Lineage: Bacteria; Pseudomonadati; Bacteroidota; Cytophagia; Cytophagales; Amoebophilaceae. The record is from RNAcentral.